AGUGGCUCUCGGAGGCAAAGUCUUGGCGCUACGAAGUGCCCACGGCAUGACGGUCACAUUGUUGGCAUCAGCCAUUGUUGACAGCCAAAGCCGCCGUCACACUUGCCACAGCAACAAUAACAACAAAUGCAGCGGCAAGAACAACAACAAGUUAGGAGCAACAGCCAUGCAACGCCAACAACACAGGUACACACAAAUAACGCCAGCAGGCCAACAACAAUAACAAAUAGUUGUUGACAUUUAUGCCGGCGAAUGUCACAUGCCAGGCACGCCCCUCAGCGCAAAGCAGUAAGCAAGUGCACUGGAAGAAAGUGUCUGUAGAGAAAAUCAAGGAAGUGCACAAAAAUGACUUUAACUUUGAAUUAAAGGGGGGUAUAAAUACAAAAGUAGUUUGUUUCCAU
RNAcentral lists this long non-coding RNA (401 nucleotides) under Drosophila melanogaster (fruit fly). Its description in RNAcentral is "long non-coding RNA:CR44232 (Dmel_CR44232)". Lineage: Eukaryota; Metazoa; Arthropoda; Insecta; Diptera; Drosophilidae. The record is from RNAcentral.